CAUCCAUUUUAGCAUGGCUGGGGCCCCGAGGGCCCGGGCUCGGGCAGAUGGGUCACAAUCGGAGGCAAACGUCAGCGCGUGACAAAGAUUGUUUUGGCGAGCGCUGGAGGAAAUCGAUGCGAUGAAAAGAAGAGGGUCUGCUGCGCCGGGUUGGACCACUGGAGGGAGGUGUUGUCGUUGAAGUCCACCCUGCAGGUCAUGUUGGCGGCCGCCUCCUCCAGCGCCGUCACGUUCUGAGUGAUGGGGAACUGGCCAUGGCCGCCUGCAAGGGGGAGGAGUCAGAGCUGAGGUCAGGGCGGCGCCUUAGUACAAGCAGCUGGACCGAGACACGUGGUUGGAGUUGGAGCGAGAGAGGGACACGGCGAGAGAAAACAAAGACUGAAAAGUGGC
Nerophis lumbriciformis (worm pipefish) is the source of this 390-nucleotide long non-coding RNA. RefSeq lists it as uncharacterized. NCBI's taxonomy places the organism in Eukaryota, Metazoa, Chordata, Actinopteri, Syngnathiformes, Syngnathidae. The record is from RefSeq and is a predicted model, not a curated record.